This 10937-nucleotide long non-coding RNA is filed under the name Elaeis guineensis (African oil palm). RNAcentral describes it as "long non-coding RNA (EGUI_LNC023700)". Lineage: Eukaryota; Viridiplantae; Streptophyta; Magnoliopsida; Arecales; Arecaceae. The record is from RNAcentral.
AGGCCCCUCUUCCUAUUCAGUUUUUGUUAGGACUUGCCUUUGAAACAAAACCUUCUCGGACAUUAUCUAAAAUGAUGGUUAGAUUUCCUUUCUGUCUUUUUUGUUGAAAUAUUUAUGCAGGGAAAUCCUUAUUGUGAUUUAGCAGUCUUCAGAAUGUGGCUUUUACAACUACUAUCAACUUAAAUUUAUUUUAGCCAUUAUACUUCAUCACAUAUAAAACUUGAAUUAAGUAUUUCUGUUGUUGUAUUAUACUAUUAUCUAAUAUUGAUUAUGACAUGACACUUUAUCUUGUAUCAGUAUGCAUAUAUCUACUCAUUAAUCUAAAAACUGAUUGUACUGGAAAACAAAAUUUCCAUUAAAUAGAAUAGGGAUUAAAGUGGAAAUUCAAUUGACAUUAACUUUGGGAGGUGCUUGGUUGGGGGGAGUGGGCGUCCGAAAUCGGAAUGGGAAUGAGUGACUCCCAUUCCAACCAUUUGGUUGAGAGGAGUCCCAUUCCGACUCCGGGAUGGAAUGAAAAUGGCCCAAUCUACCUAGAACUCAGGGGGUGCUUGGUUGGCGAACGGAAUCGAAAUUGAAAUGGCUUGGAAUCGGAAUCGGAAUGGCCAAAUCCUCCGGAGAGCUUGGUUCGUGACUGGAAUCGAAAUCGAAAUUAGAAUGAAAAUUUGAAUUCAUAAAGGAGAGUAGGGACUGAGUUCUAUGUAGAUUGGGCCAUUCCCAUUCCACUCCGAAAUCGGAAUUGGAAUAGAACUUUUCCCAACCAAAUGGUUGGAAUGGGAGUUACUCAUUCCUAUUCCUAUUCCAGACCUCCACUCCCCCCAACCAAGCACUCCCUCAAUCCCCACUCUCUCCUAUGAAUUCAAGUUUCAUUCCCCUUCUGAUUCUGAUCACGAACCAAAUGCUUCGGGAGAUUUGGGCAUUCCGAUUCUGAUUUCAAUCUAUUCCGAUUCCCAUUCUAAUUUCUAUUCCAGUCGUGAACCAAGCAUCCCUUUAAUAUAUCUUAUGAUAAAAUGGUAUUGUUAUUAACAUACUGCAAUCUGGGCUACCACUUCAUAACUUACUUUUUCCAUGCCUAUAUUCCCUUUAUGUUGGUUUUAAAGCCUGCAAAGGCAGCUUUUAGAGAUGCUGAACACAAAUUUUCUGAGGAAGUGGAAGCCUAAAGAGAAUGCUGCCGUUGGCAACAGGAAGCUUUCAACCUGUUUUAAUCUCUUUUCUUGGAUAAUUGCUGACAACAAAUUGCUAGUGCACAGAAUUAAUUUAGUUUUAUAUCAUUUAUCAUGGUUCAGAAAUGUUAGUUACAAUUGUGUGCCUGUACAUACACCCAGCCAGGUAGUUAAUUCUUAGAAGCUCUUUGACAUCCUGCUUCUGGUUAAUUCUGUUCAAUUUUAAUGUGUUAUCAAGUGCAGAUAUAACCAUAUAAGUUGCCUAUGCAUAUUGAUGAACAUUGAGAUACCAAGGCUUCUUAUCCCACAACAUAAAAAGCAUUUUUUCAUUCUUUCAUAUAGAUGCAUUGAUGUAAAGUUGUGAAUUAAGACAUAAAUCUAUUUGUCAGUUGUGAAUAGGGCCACUAAAAUUUGCUGAAAAGAUAUCAUAUAACUGUAUAUCAGAAUUCCAUGGCCAAAGUCUAACAUAAAGCUGAGAGAUACACAAAUUUUUCAUGAAACCAUCUGUCUGUAAUCAUCUUGAAGAACAUAUAAAGAAAUUUGUAUUUAACCCUAUCAGAACAUUAGGUUCCUAAUUUUGUUUCUUCUACCUUCACAGAUAUUAUAUCUGAUAAACACAACUGUUUUAUUUCCCUAUGAAGAAUUAUGAGUUCGUCCAAAAUCUCAUGGCUUAGCUCAUAAAAUGAAUAAAAUUUUUCUCAAGGUAAUACUAAGCAACUAAGCAGCAGACUUUUCUCCCCUUUCUUGUUUAGCAUAAAGGACUGCUUCUGAGAAAUCUUGUUUUUUAGGAUGGUGAACUGCAAUCUACUACGUGGCAUCAUCCACACUAAUUGUUUUAAUGUGUGUUAGGAAGGACUGCUUUAAUGUUAAAAGUUCACAUAUGAAUGCAGUAGCAUCCAAGGUGCUGAGCAUAAAACAUACCAUCGAGGUUUGGCUUUGGGAUUGAUAUGACUAGACCAAAUUCACAAUUUGAUGUAGAUAUAGGAGAAUGUCAGGAAAAUAUUGGAGGUCAAAAAUUGAAAAUACAAAAGAAAAUAUGAGAAGUACCAAUGGAGUUACAAAUCUAAAAAAUUUCGGCAAAAAGGCUGCAGAUUUUUUUCUUUUAAAGUGGAAUAACUACUAAUUUAUUGUCACACUCGCAACAAACUCUCAAAGCAUGUUGUUUUUUUGGGUCAUUAUAAAUGAUGAAUGAGAACUGUAACUGCAGUGAUUUGAAAAGUUUAGAAUCCGAUAUAAGAGUGGAGAAUCUUGUGGCGAUGAUGUUAACUUAUUGUCUGUUUUAUUUAACAAAGUUGUGAUGAAAGGGAAUGAAAGUGAUAGAUGCUAGGACAAAUGAAGGAUACUAAUGCAGAAAGUGACCUUCUUGAUAAGCAAGAUUUCAAAAUUUCCCUGACAAUAUAAAAGGAAGAAACAACAACAGACUUGACUUACAAUAUAGAGCUUAAGAGUGGAAAAGUGAACUUCAUUCAUUUCAAAGGGCCAAUACGUGAGGUUAUUCUAUAGGGCUCAGGACUCCGAUCGUUGCUAAAAGCAGGCAUCCUAAUCGUAUCUGAUCAUGAUCUUUGUGAUUUACAAGAUCCUUACAAAAGUAAUAUAUAAAAGUGCAACAUGGAAGAAUACUUUUUAGGGCUAGUGUAGUAUUUCUGACCCCUCUUUUUUUCCAUAUAAGCUUUUAAACCAUAUCUCAGAAGCCAAUAAAAAGGGGCAAAAGAUCAAGAGAAAGGUAGAUUUUUCUGUAAUGCAGAUAUCUUCUUUUUUCCCUCCCAAUUAUGGUCCAAGGAUUUUCGAUAUGGCAGGAUUUAUAUUUGGAUUGAUUUUUCUCUAAUGAUAGAUUCUGGGGAGUUUUACCAAAAAUGUUUUAUUGUGAUUGAAUUUUUUUUUUUUUUUUCAAAUUAACUAUUGCCACGCCAUAUGCAUGUACAGUUUUUUUUUUUUGGUUUGUUUAAGGCCUUCUGGGAUCUUUCCUUGACCUGAGGUGAUUAUCUGUGCUUUAAGCAUGGAUUCUUAUGGAAGGUCUUAACUAGCUCCUUUGCACCUGCAUCAGAGGGAAAGGGAAAUUUUUGUUGUACUUGGAGUGCAUCUCUUGGGUUUACAGGGAGAUUCUAGCGUGGUUUCUGCUUGAAAUCUUUAAGGAGGCCAUCAUAAGAUUUAGCAAGAUGUAAAUUGAUUGGGAUGGGGGUGCCUGGCCUAUUUAGAUUUGAAUUGGGUAAACAAAGUGAAGUGAUUUUUUGAGAUGUAACUGUUAAAAGUAGGUUCAAUAAGUCAUUCAUUCAUUUUUCAAAAUAGAGGGGAUAACAAAAUUUCAAUGUCACUGAUAUGAGUUCAAUGUAAAGACUGAGCUUGCCGCGAGGGAGACCAUGGGGGUGUUAAAUUGUUUGCACUGUUCCCAUCUUGAAUGGCAUGGAGCGAUAAUGAACUUGUUCACUCAUAGAGGGCAUACUAGAUUCUGGAAAGUAAAGACAUGGAAAGUUCAAAGAUUCUGAAACACUAGGCUUUGGGGUAUUGGCAAUUUAUAGUACAUCAAUAAAAAUAUUUAAAGAAAGCAAUGGAACCAACAUUAUUUUAUGAGGAAGAGGGAGAUGGAGAGUCUUUGGAUGGAAAAAGGAAUAAAUGGUAAUGAUAAAGUCAAGCAUCUUUAACUAGAUGCAGGAUAAUCUCACCAACUUCCACAAUAAUUGAAACACUUGAGUGCUAAAGACAGAAAAAUUUUGGGAACAUUUUUUGAGGCUGAGACUUGCUUAUUCUUGCUCCGUCUAGCAAAUCAAGGAGUAGCAUUUGGGAGAACGUGAUAGCAGUAGGCUAAAUGGGUACGCUGGGAACGGAUUUGCCUUUGAUAAUUUUAUCUGGACGCAUUGUUGGAUACCUAUUGGUGCUUGUUGAUAGGCCUUUCUUUGUUUCUAUGCUUGUUGGUCUUGCUGAUAUAGAUAUUUUGGGCAUUAGCUGGCUGUUGCUGUGGCCUUGCUGGCUAUAGUGUCAUCCCACAUCAUAAUGCCAAGUGGUCACAUUCUUUUCCUAGAGAGCUGAAUGGCUUUAAAUCUCUUCUAUGCCAAGCCUUUGCCCGGGAAUUUGCUUCCUAUUGGAGUCAUUGCUUGUUGUUUACAGUUUGAUAAUGGCUUAGUUGGAUGUCUUUUUCCCACCGCCGAGGGGUCUUUGCAUGAGUCCUGUCACUUGUGUCUUUUUGGCUGGUGGCUUUUGUGUCAUUAUUGAUGUUGUAUUCGGCGGUGGUUGGCCCAUUGGGUUAUAUCAGCCGCAAUGAGUACUGUUGGCUUUAAUAAUUAGAUUUUUUUUUCUUAAAAAAAAGACUAAGGUCAGUUAAUUUAAUUUAUGACAAAAAAUCAUCUCUAUUUAAAAGCCAAAAAAGCCUCUAUUUACAUCAUAUAGACCCAAAAUCCCUACCCUUUUAAGCGAUCUUUAGCCUUACCUGAAAUCCUGGAGUCAUGGCAUCGCUGUUUAGCUUUAGUCUGUCUUUUGUGAGAGUGUCUGAUAACUUUGGGUUAAAUUUGCUUGACACCUGAACAAAUUGAUAGUUGAAGUUCCAAAUUUUUGCACUACUGUCCAUUGCGUUGCACUGCAAAGUUGUUUCAGGUGUUGGCAGUUUGGUCUGAUAAUAAGAAUGAUGCUUCGUAAAGUGCCAACAGGUGUCAUGCUCUGUCAUGUUAUAUCAAGGACCUUAAGGUGUUUACACUAUUAACAUCCUAAAAUACUAAUUGCCUCCCCUUUGAGAAAACCAAAAUAGUAGUAUUCAAUUAACUAAGCAACCCGGGCAGAAUAACGAAAAUUAAUCCAUUCUAGAAUUCUAGCAUCGCCCAACUUUCUUCUGGGGAAAAAUGGUUUGCUAUAACUAUAUGAAAGAAAUUAAGAAGUUAAGGCGUGUCCUAUUUGCACUUCUCUUUUGGAGCUUCUAAGUUCUUCGCUGGAAAGAUAUGCAAAUUACUCAUCAUUCUUUGCUUGAAGAGUAGACAAAUUGGCCUUCAUGCAUGGUUUCUACUUAUUCUUGUGAACUUUGUCGUCCUUACCAUCUACCAGCUUUAGCAUAUUGUUUGCUCUUUUCAUUCAACAAUAUGUCUACAUAGUUUGCCUCAUAGUUUCUUCUUUUGAGAAAUAGCUUCUCUAUUUCUUCAUGUGCAUGUUCAACAAAUCAUCAGCAUUUACUCCUUUCUCACACAUUUGUAAGCUGUACCUGCUGUCCAGUACAUUUGUGCUCUAUAUUAAUCAUGUCCAUCACAUUUUUAGAGAACUGAUGUGUAAAUUAUGAGCUAAGUUUCAAAUUUUUAGACUGUUCAAGUAAACGUUCUGUCCAAGUAAGACAAGAAGAGGUUAAUCAAUAGGAGCGUGCUUGGAAGAAGCUGGAUUUAGGAGCCUUUUCAUUUGAAUGGUGGAUGUAAUAUAUGAUUGGAAUAUCCUCUAGGAUUUUUAUCUUUAUGUUAGGAAAUAUAUCUUGAGAUUCAGUCCACAAGAAGCCCACAGCGAGAUCCACGAUGACGAAUGGAGUCCAACGAGUCUAAGACCAGCCUAAACGAAGUCCAGACGGUGAAGUUAUGCACGAGAGAAGCUAGCACGGCCCACAGAACAACGGAGGUUGGCGGCGGCACAACCAAUACCGGCGGACGUGCAAGCGCGCGCCGGAGAACGUGGACCAGUGCGUGGGUGCACGCAGGGCGUGGCCCGCAACUCUUCAUGCGGUCCAUCAUGGAUCGCCAGUCCAUGCGAGGAGGCGUGGACCACUACCUGAUUUCUCCGCACAUUUCGCACAGUCUACCAUGGACCGAGACCGUUUCCAGGCCCGUUUCUCACGGUCUACCAUGGUUCACAUUCUAUUUUGCUCUUAUUUUCAUGCGGAUGCACGAUCCAGUGACUGUGGGAGUUUGCGGUAGUGAUCAGAUGGCUCAGAGGGUCCUGGAGUUCUGAUAGGAGAUGGAUUCGCGUUGGACUCGUUUGGGAACUCCUGUGCAUAGUUUGAGACGAUCUGAGGUUUUUAAGAAGAGCUGUAGUAAACAGAGGGCCGUAGUGUAGCGUAGUGUGUUCGGUAGAGGACCCAGAGCAGCAACAAAUCGAGAGGAGCCGACAGAGAGCAAAGGCAGGAGUGCUUCAGGCAGACUGUCAGGCAGCAGAUAGCGAUCGCUUCAGAGAUUCAGCGGAUCUCCUAGAGAGAGCUUUUGUGAGGGAGAACUUCUUGUGAGAGAGAGAUUAGAUGUACGAGGGUUGAGGGUAUGAUUUUCUCUUAUAAUUUUUUUUUCAUAGUGAAACUUACAUGUCCCGUAGAGGCGAGCCUUUUGGUCGAUCCAUGUAUUGAUUAUGUUUCUAUUUUGUUUCUUCUUUCUUUCUGCUGCGACGUGUGGUAGCGAAAAGAUCCUAUGGUAGUGGUGUCCUGGCCAGACAUCUCCAACACUGGUAUCAGAGCGAAGUGAUACCAGGACAUAGGUUGCGGUGGUGGUAAGCAAGAUUAAAGAUGGAGAAAACAUGCUCAAUCAAAGUGGAGAUCAACAGAUUUGAUGAAAAGAGCAAUUUCUCCUUGUGGCAAGUGAAGGUGAAGAACAUGCUCGUCCAACAAGGAUUGAUCGAUGCUUUUUUAUGCGAAAAAAAAUCGACUAUCAUAGAAAUAUAGGAUUGGAGGCAGUUCUAGAUAUAGACGGUGAGUAUGAUCCACUUAUACCUAGCGGAUGAGAUGGUGAUUCAUGUGCUUGGCGAGUCUUCUCCGAUGGUGUUGUGGUCGAAACUCGAAGAGUUGUACAUGGUGAAGUCUCUCACCAACACGCUUUUUCUCUGGAGAUCGUUUUACCAGCUGUGGAUGACUGAGGAACAGAUCAUGUAGGAGUAUCUCAGCCACUUUCAGAAGAUCCUCACCGACCUCCUCAGUAUUGGCGAAAAAGUUGAGGAGAAGACUAGGGCGCUGGUCUUGCUAGCAAUGCUUUCACCUUCGUAUGAGUUCUUGAUGACUGCUCUUCUAAUGGAGAAGAGCAUCAUCAAAAUGGACGAGAUCACCAUGAUGAUUCUCCAGAAUAAGGUUCUCAGGAGGGAGAAUCCAGCUUCGAGCUCAGGCGACAGCUCAGCUUUGACGAUUUCUGAAGAAACAAGGGGCGAUAGACGGAGCGACAGAAAAUCGUAAUGAGGGCAGUCCAAGUCCAAGAUGAGGGACUUGAGCAAGAUCAGAUGUUACCGAUAUGAUGAGUUGGAGCAUCUAGCCAGAGAUUGCCCUCAACUCAGGGAUCGGAUGAGGGCUACUGCAGCAACGGUCAAUAGCGAGUCAAAAGAUGAUGUCCUGGAGAUAUCUGAUGAGAUAUUUAUUUUUUUCAGCAGUAUAUUUUAGAUUCUGUAUGCACCUAUCAUGUAUAUUACAGAGAAAAAUAGUUUGACUCCUCAGAGAGCAAUGAGGAUACUAUUUAUCUACCGGAUGGAUCGAACUGUGCGAUCAAAAAUAUCGAGACAGUUAGCUGGAUAACACAUGAUGGUGUAGUGAGGAGAUUGAGAAAGAUUCGAUAUAUAUCCGAUUUCAGAUGGAAUCUUAUCUCACUAAGCAGAUUGGAUUCGACCGGCUACAGGUAGAGGGUUGGUGGAGGAAUCCUGAAAAUAUUUCGUGAUGAUAGAAUUAUUCUGGAGGAAAAAAAGAGGAUGAGAGAACAUUACUACCUGGCAAGGAGUCCAGUGCGAGGUGGAGUUUCAAGAGUCAGGAGGAGUCCAGAGUGAGAUGGAGCUUCAGGUGGAGGUGGAUUAGACACUAGACACAAGAUUCGGAAGGAUGAGAGACAAUAUCGCAGGGUGAGAUUUCUAUUGCCGUAUAAGGAUAUCCCGAACAGAUCUCAGGUCAUGAGGAGCAAAGCAUACGAUAGAGAUGAGAUCGAGCGAUCUGAUUCGACUUCCAUGUUGGUCUAUUCAUGAUCAGCAGUCGAUUGCCCCAAGGCAUUGGGGUGAGAAGAUCCAAAAAUUUUCAGAGUUAGGAGGAGACCGAAUAUCGAGUCGAGAUGGAGAUUGUUAGGAGAUACAUCUUGAGAUUCGGUUCACAAGGAGUCCACAGCGAGAUCCAUGACGACGAACGAAAUCCAAUGAACCUAAGAUCAGUCCAAACGAAGUCCAGAUGGUGAAGUUACAUAUGAGAAAAGCUAGCACGGCCCACGGAGCAGUGGAGGGCGUUGGCAGUGUAGCCAGGCCCGACGAAUGCACGAGCACAUGCAGGAGAGUGUGGCCCACCACGCAGGCGGGCCCAGCAUGGGCGCCCGCAGCUCUUUACACGAUCCAUCAUAGACCGCCAGUCCACGCGAGGAGGCAUGGACCGCUACCUGGUUUCCCCGCACGUUUCGCACGGUCUACCAUGGAUCGGGGCCGUUUCCAGGCCCAUUUCUCAUGGUCUACUGUGGUCCACACUCUGUUUCGCUCUGAUUUUUGUGCGGGUGCGUAAUCCAGUGGCUGUGGGAGUUUGCGGUAGUGAUCAGAUGGCUAAGAGGAUCUUGGAGUUCUGAUAGGAGAUGAAAUUAACGUUGAAUUCAUUUUGGAACUCCUGUGCAUAGUCUGAGACGAUCUGAGGUCUUUAAGAAGAGCUGUGGCAAACAGAGGGCCGUAGUGUGGCAUGGUGUGUUCGACCGAAAAUCCAGAGUAGCAGCAGAUCGAGAGGAGCCGACAGAGAGCAGAGGCAGGAGUGCUUCAGACAGACUGUCAAGCAGUGGACAACAGUCGCUUCAGAAAUUCAGGAGUUCUCCUAGAGAGAGAGCUUUUGUGAGGGAGAGCUUCUUGUGAGAGAGAGAUUGGGUGUAUUAGGAUUGAGGGUGUGAUCUUUUCUUGUAUUUUUUUUUUUCUCAUAGUGAAGCUUGCAUGUCCCGUGGAGACGAGUCUUUUGGGCAGUCCACAUAUUUGAUUGUGUUUCUGUUUUGUUUCUUCUUUCUUCCUACUGCGACGUGUAGUAUUGAAAAAAUCUCAUGAUAGUAGUGUCCUGGUCAAACAUCCCCAACACUUUAUAUGGUAGAUCAAAGGAAAUUCAUGCCCUCCCUUUCCAACAUGAGAGAGGCUACAACAUGACUGUCGUAGAUGAUUGUUAUAUGAGGGUUUUAUGAUGUUCAUGUAGUCUACUUUGGCUUUAGGGAGCCUUGUGAGAUGAUGGAUCCUCUCUGGUUGGACCUGACUAUUAUGUACAGGUGUUUGUGAAGGGUUAUGGUCCUGCAUUGCUUAAGCUUGAUCGGUACUUUCUUUGCUUGCUGAUGGCUCUGUUUGUUGCCUCUCUCUGUGUUGGAGAAGGUUUUCUUGACCUUAGCCCUCAUCAACCUUGCAUCUGCACUCAACCAGGAGCUUCCUAUGCUCCUACCUUGUUCUAUUUGUCAUUUCUAUUCUACCUCAUCGUCUCUCUCUUAAAGGAAGUUAAAACUCACAAUUGGCUCAUUCCGAGUUUAAUUGGACCAUUGUUUGUGGGAUUUCCAGGUUCUCUAAUAUUUCUUGUUUGCCGUUUUACAGAUCCUUGGCAUGCUCUGUGUAUGAUAGUAUGCAAAGGCAAACAAAGACUCCCUCCACAAAUUUAAAUAGCAGAUCUCUCAAUAUAGGAGUUAAUAGCAUAGCACUAUUCAUAAUGGUCUGCUUAUAAUGCUUUGCUGAAGACUCAUUUAUGAAAUAUUUGUGAUCAUUUCAGCAGUAUUCCUCCAAUCCUCUCUCCCCUUCUCUCUGUUUAGGAUAUGCAGCAGCAUUCCUUAAAAUUUACAUGUCUAUCCCAUAUAGGAUUUUAUUUAUCAAUCCCAUUUUUCUCCCCUUUUGGGCAACAAGUAUCUUGCAUCAUGAUGUGGCUUGCAGGAUUCAUUCAACCAUCAGAGCUGCAAGAUUGGGAGUCACUGAUUUCAUAAUUUCUGCAACGUAUAUUCUCAUGUCCUAAUUCAGAAUUUAAUAUUAUGGUUAAGAAAGUCAAAAAACUUGACAGCCUUUGCCAUUGCUGCUGUCCUUCACCUAAAACAUUUACAACAUACUAAAAUUUAAAUGAUGCCCUUGAUGUUGAUGCUUCUUAUGAGAGGUAAGGACUCUUGACUGAUCUCAUUCCUGAAGCAUCAUACACUUGCCACCUAGGUGGACUUGCUUGCUUCCUGCUUGCUUGAAUUUGUGCAUCUGUACUUAAUUGCAGAAGCAUAAAUAGAUAUUAGACAGAAUAAAUGUAGUCGAUUGUUUGAACACAAUGCUUACCUGUCUUAAGAGCGGAUCUGGGAAGCAGUAGACACAUUAUUCUCUGUUGAUUCUAAGUUUAUUCAUUCUGAUUACAACGGGAUGAUGACAUAGCAUCAGAAAUUUCAUGCACUCCCUGAAUCAUAACCUAUUUUACAUGAGCAUCUGGAAUUCUAAUCUUGACUCCAAACAGCAGGCUCUAACUCUAUCAGCUCUAAGGUUCACAUCUUCUGAUGACGACAGGGUUCUAUCCUGUCAAGGGCCAAGACUCCCACCACUCAGAAGGAGUGGUGCAGCACUGUUCCGGAGAACUACUGCAGUUGAAAUCGCAUGGUUGCUCAAUUGAUGUCAGGUAGCCACUCUCAGGUUCUCUCAUGUAUAAAUAUUCUGCUUCUUUCUGAUUGAAAAAGCUUAGAUUCUUCUCUUCAUCACCUGAACACACUAACAAGCAGGGCCUCGCAUCCUCCUCGCGCUUGCCAUUGCUGCAGUUGGAAUCGCCGUCAUUACUGCUCGCUUCUGAUGGCUUAUUCAGCAAUUCAGUAAGCUUUUGCGACUGUAUGAUCCGAAAUUAUAUUAUCACAUGCUUCGCAAGACAAAGUAAGUCGGAGAUCGUGAGAACAAAAGAAAGUGUUUUUUUACCUGGUUGAUCAG